Molecule: ribosomal RNA, 253 nt
Filed under: uncultured bacterium
Lineage: Bacteria
Description: partial 16S ribosomal RNA
Rfam family: Bacterial small subunit ribosomal RNA
Source: RNAcentral
UACGGGGGGGGCAAGCGUUGUUCGGAAUUACUGGGCGUAAAGGGCGCGUAGGCGGUGCUCUAAGUUAGAUGUGAAAACUCUGGGCUCAACCCAGAGCCUGCAUCUAAAACUGGAGUGCUAGAGUUCUGGAGGGGGUAGCGGAAUUCCUGGUGUAGCGGUGAAAUGCGUAGAUAUCCGGAGGAACACCGGUGGCGAAGGCGGCUUCCUGGACCGACACUGACGCUGAGGCGCGAAAGCUAGGGGAGCAAACGGG